AACGAACGCUGGCGGCGCGCCUAAUACAUGCAAGUCGAGCGAGAAGGUGUAGCAAUACACUUGUAAAGCGGCGAACGGGUGAGGAAUACAUGGGUAAUCUACCAUCGAGUGGGGAAUAACCAACCGAAAGGUUGGCUAAUACCGCGUACGCCUCCGAGUCUUCGGGUUCGGAGGGAAAGCUGCACUGUGAGUGUAGCGCUCUUUGAUGAGCUCAUGUCCUAUCAGCUUGUUGGUAGGGUAACGGCCUACCAAGGCUUUGACGGGUAGCUGGUCUGAGAGGACGAUCAGCCACACUGGCACUGCGACACGGGCCAGACUCCUACGGGAGGCAGCAGUAAGGAAUAUUGCGCAAUGGGCGAAAGCCUGACGCAGCGACGCCGCGUGGGGGAUGAAGGUCUUCGGAUUGUAAACCCCUUCGGGAGGGAAGAUGGAACGAGCAAUCGUUCGGACGGUACCUCCAGAAGCAGCCACGGCCAACUUCGUGCCAGCAG
This 491-nucleotide ribosomal RNA is filed under the name uncultured bacterium. RNAcentral's name for it is "bacterial SSU rRNA". It matches the Rfam family "Bacterial small subunit ribosomal RNA", at positions 29 to 514 of the family's 1533-position model. The record is from RNAcentral.